Long non-coding RNA from Oreochromis aureus, 249 nucleotides. RefSeq lists it as uncharacterized. Lineage: Eukaryota; Metazoa; Chordata; Actinopteri; Cichliformes; Cichlidae. The record is from RefSeq and is a predicted model, not a curated record. The transcript is spliced from 3 exons.
CUUAUGGUUUAAAGUGUUCACUGUGACGGCAGCCGGAUCACAGAGAAGAAGCAGAGGAUUUUCUUUUUUUCUAAACAGACGUGGUCCACACAGUGGAGAGCCAAAGAGUGAAGAAGUUCAUUGGAAGGAGCUCAUCCUGGUCCAGAGAGCUGCAGAGUAAAGUUCACGGGAAAUAGCUGAGUGAAGGUAGAAAGUGUGUGUGAGCUGUGGAUGUGAAUUCAGCAGCAUGGAUCAGUGUGAAGACAGAGA